RNAcentral lists this ribosomal RNA (253 nucleotides) under uncultured bacterium. Its description in RNAcentral is "partial 16S ribosomal RNA". It matches the Rfam family "Bacterial small subunit ribosomal RNA", at positions 524 to 776 of the family's 1533-position model. The record is from RNAcentral.
UACGAAGGGGGCUAGCGUUGCUCGGAAUCACUGGGCGGAAAGCGCACGUAGGCGGCUUGUUAAGUCAGGGGUGAAAUCCUGGAGCUCAACUCCAGAACUGCCUUUGAUACUGGCGAUCUUGAGUCCGGGAGAGGUGAGUGGAACUGCGAGUGUAGAGGUGAAAUUCGUAGAUAUUCGCAAGAACACCAGUGGCGAAGGCGGCUCACUGGCCCGGUACUGACGCUGAGGUGCGAAAGCGUGGGGAGCAAACAGG